AUGGAUGAGUGUUCAUCGCAUUCCCAAAUCGCAGAUCUGUCUAAAGGAAAAGCAAAAAAGAGAAAGAAACCUGGAGAACAAGCUGCUUCUGGUAAUUGCAAGGGCGCACUACUUGGACAAAGCUAUGGGGUACAAGAACAGCAACACUACACAAGAAAACUCCAAGAAUUAAGUAAAGAGGAAUUAUUAGACGUUCAGUAUGGAAAGCAAAGUUCUCAAAUGAUUAGUGAGCUUCUAGCACCUCAAGGAGCCGUACAAUCGUACACAGAACUCAUGCAACAGAUGACUGUGGUGAGUCAUCCUCAGAGUGACAACAUGGCAAUCCCUAUAACAAGUUUCACUUCGCUAUUGACAACAAGCAUAAAUGCUUAG
Molecule: ribosomal RNA, 372 nt
Filed under: Triticum aestivum (bread wheat)
Lineage: Eukaryota; Viridiplantae; Streptophyta; Magnoliopsida; Poales; Poaceae
Description: partial small subunit ribosomal RNA
Source: RNAcentral